Molecule: transfer RNA, 67 nt
Filed under: Yezoterpnosia nigricosta
Lineage: Eukaryota; Metazoa; Arthropoda; Insecta; Hemiptera; Cicadidae
Description: tRNA-Asp
Source: RNAcentral
AAAGAGUUAGUUUAAUUAUUAGAAAACUUUAAUUUGUCAAAUUAAAAAUACUAUAAAGUAUUCUUUU